This 253-nucleotide ribosomal RNA is filed under the name uncultured bacterium. RNAcentral describes it as "partial 16S ribosomal RNA". It matches the Rfam family "Bacterial small subunit ribosomal RNA", at positions 524 to 776 of the family's 1533-position model. The record is from RNAcentral.
UACGUAGGGUGCAAGCGUUGUCCGGAAUUAUUGGGCGUAAAGAGCUCGUAGGCGGUUUGUCGCGUCUGCUGUGAAAACCCGAGGCUCAACCUCGGGCCUGCAGUGGGUACGGGCAGACUAGAGUGCGGUAGAGGAGAUUGGAAUUCCUGGUGUAGCGGUGGAAUGCGCAGAUAUCAGGAGGAACACCGGUGGCGAAGGCGGGUCUCUGGGCAGUAACUGACGCUGAGGAGCGAAAGCGUGGGGAGCGAACAGG